CAAUAGCAUAUAUUAACGUUGUUGCAGUUAAAAAGCUCGUAGUUGGAUUUCUGGAGGGAGCGUCGGCCCGUAUUUACGAGUGCGUGACGUCUCUGUCCAUCCUUGCGGGAAGGCACGGCAUUGAUUUGUUGUGUCGGAUCGCAUCAUUUACUGUGAAAAAAUUAGAGUGUUCAAAGCAGGCUUUCGCUUGAAUACAUUAGCAUGGAAUAAUAAGAUAGGACUUUGGUGCUAUUUUGUUGGUUGAGCCUAAAGUAAUGAUUAAUAGGGAUAGUUGGGGGCACCUGUAUUGCGUUGUCAGAGGUGAAAUUCUUGGAUUUACGCAAGACAAACAGCUGCGAAAGCGUCUGCCAAGGAUGUUUUCAUUAA
This 366-nucleotide ribosomal RNA is filed under the name uncultured eukaryote. RNAcentral's name for it is "partial 18S ribosomal RNA". It matches the Rfam family "Eukaryotic small subunit ribosomal RNA", at positions 592 to 976 of the family's 1831-position model. The record is from RNAcentral.